RNAcentral lists this small RNA (272 nucleotides) under Aotus nancymaae (Ma's night monkey). Its description in RNAcentral is "Metazoan signal recognition particle RNA (ENSANAG00000010753.1)". Lineage: Eukaryota; Metazoa; Chordata; Mammalia; Primates; Aotidae. The record is from RNAcentral.
GCUGGACUUGGUGGUGUGAUCCUGUCUCCCGCUGAGGCGGGAGGAUUCACGCACACAGGACUUCUGGGACUUCUGGGAGGUAGUGUGCUAUGACCAUCAGUGGGAAUGUAGUCACCCCUGGGAGCAGGGGACCACCAGGUUGUCAAAGGAAGAGUCAGCUGGCCCAGGUUGGAAACAGAGCAGGUCAAACUCCUGUGUUGAUCAAUAGUGGAAUCAAAUCUGUGAAUAGCCACUGUGCUCCAGCCUGGGCAACAUAGUGAGACCCUGUCUCU